RNAcentral lists this small RNA (42 nucleotides) under Pelagodinium bei. RNAcentral describes it as "Pelagodinium beii partial Mitochondrion-encoded tmRNA". Lineage: Eukaryota; Dinophyceae; Suessiales; Suessiaceae. The record is from RNAcentral.
GGCGGGUUUUGGCAUUUCUAUGCAUGUGAAUUCAAUUGGGAU